CCUACGGGAGGCAGCAGUGAGGAAUAUUGGUCAAUGGACGAGAGUCUGAACCAGCCAAGUAGCGUGAAGGAUGACUGCCCUAUGGGUUGUAAACUUCUUUUAUAUGGGAAUAAAAUGUUCCACGUGUGGGAUUUUGUAUGUACCAUAUGAAUAAGGAUCGGCAAACUCCGUUCCAGGAGCCGCGGUAAUACGGAGGAUCCGAGCGUUAUCCGGAUUUAUUGGGUUUAAAGGGAGCGUAGGUGGAGUGUUAAGUCAGUUGUGAAAGUUUGCGGCUCAACCGUAAAAUUGCAGUUGAAACUGGCAGUUGUGAGUACAGUAGAGGUGGGCGGAAGUCGUGGUGUAGCGGUGAAAUGCUUAGAUAUCACGAAGAACUCCGAUUGCGAAGGCAGCUCACUGGACUGCAACUGACACUGAGGCUCGAAAGUGUGGGUAUCGAACAGGAUUAGAUACCGUGUAGUC
This 459-nucleotide ribosomal RNA is filed under the name uncultured bacterium. RNAcentral describes it as "partial 16S ribosomal RNA". It matches the Rfam family "Bacterial small subunit ribosomal RNA", at positions 338 to 795 of the family's 1533-position model. The record is from RNAcentral.